AGGACAUUGAUCCGUUACCAAACCGCAGUCUAGAGAGCCAGUCACAAUUCGGACUCCCACCAGAAACCACUCAAAUAUUGCAGGAGAAGGAUUGGAUCUUAUUUUGCUGGGAGAAGAGAUUGGGAGAAGAGGAUGGAAGACCAUACUGAGCCUGAGAGGCAGAGAGAGCCCUGCUGGAGGUCCAUCAGAAGUCAGGCCAGCUGACCGCUAAUUCAGCAGAGCCAUCUGUCCUCCCUCACCAGGCACAAGAGAAGACAGAGACGGCCAGGCAGAGAGCAGGGCUCCUGGGAAGCACCGGCCAGGCUGCGUUCGGCCCAGGCGGGCGAGUGCGGCCUCUCCUCUUGUCCCCAGGCGCUGGUUCCACUGGAGCGAUGCUCCUGGAAGCCGUGGCGCUGGCCGGCCGGGGGGAGCCGCCCUGGCGUGUGCACGGCCCCACUGCGCGCGAGUCCCCCGGCGGGGAGCCCCGCGUCCGCCGCAUCGCCGCCUGGGCUCGCGGAGCUGGGACCUUCAUCCGCCACCUGAAGCGUAGGGAGCCGGCUUGGCCGCUGGAAAGCCUUGGAUUUUCUUAUCCCUGCCUCCCUGCCCGCCGCGCGAGGGAGGCGUGUCGUCCCUCUGUCUUUGCUUUCAGGUUCACUCAGGUUCCUUCCGGCAAACCUCAAACACAGACUUCUUCCUGUGGAUUUGAUCUUGAACUUCCUGAAGAAGCAACCAGUGGCCCAUGCCAGCUGUAGCCAUUGCCAUAGGGAGAGGCUGGGGUCUCACCUUCGGGCAAAAUCUCUGGGUCUAGCGCCAGUGUGGGCGGAGUUCCCUUUGGACCCCUGAGACUCCGCCACGGAUGUUGACGUUGUGGCUAGAGGAGGCCACAGGGCCGGCUGGGGGCUGUGCUGGCCUCAUCCUCGCAGGUGCCCUGCAUGGGGUGCAGCCCAGAGGCCCACCUGGAUUCCUGGUGCAGGUGGGGGAGACUGUGGCGGAAGCAGAAGCCAUGGAGGGCCCAGGCCCUGGCACGGUUAGGAUGUCUGUGCCGCUCUGCAUGGUGGCCUGGCCAGGGCUGGCCCCCUCCCAGAGUGGGGAAUUCCUGCUCUCAUUUGUGCUGGUGGAGAGGUCGCUGUUGGCAGGGGGACUGGGGUGGUCUUCUGCCCCCGCGGCUGGGUAGGGGGCUGGCAGGCAUAUCGGCUGUGCUGUGGCCCUGUCGCCUGAUCCUCCUCAGGACCUGCGUGGCUCCUCUGAGUAUUCUUAGGGUAGCAGUUAAAGGUGUGAAUGGCGGGCUGCUGAAACUGUGCUGCUUGCGGUUGGCAGAGCCCUGUGCUGUUCCUCGGGGCUGGGGAAGGGGCGCUGCUGUUGUGAGGUCAGCUGGAGGCUGAGGCUUCGGGGUGGAGGGGGGCGCCCUCUCCUCGGAUCAGGAGCAGGUAUGUGGCCGGUACCUCGUUGUAUUUCUGGCCCAUUAGUGAGUCCUGGAUCUCUCUUUCCGUGUGUAACCCACGGACACCAUGAAUUCAGCCCGCGGGGGACCUUGUAGUCAGGGAGUGGCUCCACGUUGGGCUUUAGUUCCUCAUAUUCAUGACCCACAAUAACUCAUGGAUCCUUCACGAUUUGCUCUUAUUUCUCCUCGAGAAUCAGAAAUUUCUUAAACAGAUUUUCACAUUCUGUGAACACGUGGGAGGGUAUAUAACAUUCUGCUCGGUACCUGCUCCCACAUCUCUGAGAAGUUCUCUCCAUGGAAAGGCAGGAAUCCGCCAACCAGUGCAUGUAGAAUAACUUCCAGACUCCAUAUAUCCACCAGGUCACACUUUGACCCUGGCAGAGUUCCGGGGCUGCAUCGGGGGGCUGCCACAGAAGGUAUCCAGCUUGUUGUAAAACGUGAACUUGUGCUGAGGCCAAAGUAUGCAAUCCUGAUGUUCAGGCCAGAAUCCAAGGGCACCUUUUCUGCCUUUGUCUCUAUGGGCAAUACGCUUCUGGUGACAGUUUGCACAGCAGACACCGUCUGGUGGAAUUUGCCUUCAGCCUCUCGUCCUUCCUACUGCCAUGAGCCCUAGGGACUCAAACACCCCUCCUCCACCAGCGCCCCGCCUAACAAGGCAGAGAGUUUCCUCAGCCGCCGUCACUUCAGAUACUUCACUAUGUUGGGAUGAUCCAAGCCUUCACGAUUCCUGCCUGUGGGACAGUCUCUGGACUGGAGGAGGCGAGUCUCCUUACUGACCUUCCCGGCUCUCGCUUCCCCAGUCAGGAUGUGCUGCGCCCCCUUCACCCCAGCCGUGACUCUCCCCAGUGGUCUGCCGGAGACGCAGUCAGCAUGAGCCUCUCAGCAGAGGUGGCUGAGGGGCCGCAAUGUGUUGGACUCACUGCCGCGCUUGGAGACGAGGAGGAACUGGUCUUUCUAAGGGAACCACAAUGCCAGACAAAAAAGAAAAAUAAAUACCGACAAACUAAAUUUUAAAAUAUUGAGUAAAAAGAAUUUAAAAAUGAUAAAAGUAAAGAUGAAAGAAUAAAGAAAUGAGAAAAAGGAAAGAAAAGAAAACCCCAACUACCAAAGUAACCCAGAAUACCAUGGAGGAAACAAGCUAGAGACUUGGUCAAAGUCCCUCAGGUCACUGAAAAGUAGCUUCCUGAACUAGAAGGACUGAUAACCUAGGCCCAGCCAGGGACUUGUUUGGUUCCUGGAGUUUCCAAACAGCAGCUCCUUGUGAAGGGAUAGGAAGAAACAGAACUCUCAGCAAGUGGUUUUCACAACAAUCGAUAAUGCACAGUGAUUUUCUCACUUUCUGGGCUCAAGUGAGACCCUUUACUGUUAAAAAAAUUAUUGAGGACCCCAGAGAGCUUUUUGUUUAUAUGGGUUAUGGCUGUGAAUAUUUAUCUUAUUGGAAAUUGAAAACUGUAGAUUGCUUCAGUGCCUUUUCAUUUCUAGUUUGAAAAGCCGUAAUAAUUUUUGGCUUUUAAAGAGCCCAUAAGGCAUACACUUAAUAUAUUCAAUUCCUUUUUCUCUAAACUCUAAGUGAUUGGUCUCAAAAUGACACCACAACUUAACUGGCAUUGUGAUACUGUGUGAAAGUAUUCUGUUGCAUAAGAUAUAGUAAGGUACGUUAUUAACAUCUAGAAAGUUGAAUGGAAGAUAGUUCUCAUAUCUUCUUAUUUACAGUUUUGCCCCAGUUCUUAGGAGUCAAUUUCUUCCUUCCAGGAGCCAGAGAACUCGCUAUGUUAGUUUCAGUGUCUUUAACUGUAGAGGUUGCAGCUGUGAGCUGAGAAAAGCAUGUCUUCUUCUCUUUUUUUUUUCUCUUUUUAAACCGACAAUCCGUGCCCUGUGUACCUCUUAUUCAGCAUGGGAUGGGGGUAGGGGCAUCUGGGUGUUGGACAUGUCACUGGUACCUCAGAGGAGGGAACCAAGAUAUCCCUACAUGAUUUUAAAAAUGUUUCCUUGAAGUAUAAUACAGAUGGAGAAAAAUGCACGAAUCAUCAGUGUGUCUCUUGGUGGCUGUUCACACAUUGAACUCGUGGACUUAACCAGCAUCCAGAUCAAGAAACAAGAUAUUCCCAGCUCCCCCAAGUCCCCUCGGCCCCCCUUUCCAGUCAUUUUCUCCUCCGCACUGGUGAUCACCAUUCUGUCUUGUGACAGCCUAAGUUAGUUUUGCUUGUUCUUGAACUUUACAUAAAUGGAAUCGCACAGUAUUAAAUCCUUUGUGUCCACUUCCUUUGCUCACUAUUUUUGUGAGAUUCAUCUAUAUUGUUUACUUUGUUAUUCUGAAUGCUGGGUAGUAACCUGUUUAUCCAUUUUGCUGUUACCAGGCAUUUGGGAAGUUCUCGUUGUUCAGCGUUCAGUGCUCUGAACAUUCUUGUUCCAACCUUUGGUGGACAUUUACAUGGUUUUCUGUUGGAUAUAUACCUAGAAAUGGAAUUGAUUGCUUAAAGGUAUGCAUAUUUUUGGUUUUAGUAGACACUGUUUGUGCCACUUAGCACACCCACCAGCAGUGGAUGAGAGUUCUGUUUCCUCUCUGAUACCUAGUAUUGCCUGCCUCUUAAUUUGAACCUUUCAGUGGGUAUGUCGUGUUGUAACAUUGUGGUUUUAAUUUGCAUUUCCCUGAUGCCUAAUGGAGUAGAACACCUUUUCGUAAGCUUAUUGGCCAUUUCCUCUUCUGUGGAGUGCCUGUUCAAGUCUUUUGCCCAUUUUUCUAUUGGGUUGCCUGUAUUUUUCUUAAUGGUUCGCACGUAUUCUUGUAUAGUUUGGGUAUGAAUACUUGUUUGGAUAUGGCCUGUGUGCAUUUCCUUUUCUCCCCACUCAUCCUGUUAGCUCUCUGAUCCCUCCUCCUACUAUUUUACUCAUUGGUCAUCCCUUUCCAGCCGUUGACUCCUUAUUUCUUGAACAUGCCCUGACAGACACAUACCUCACCUCAGAGCUCCACACUAGCUCCCAUUUCUGCCUGGAAUGUUUUUCCCAGAGAUCCACAUAGAUCUUUUCCCCAUCUCCUUCGAAUCUUUGCUCCACUGUCACCUUCUUACUGAAGCCUUCCCUGAUCUACAUACUUGGUCUUGCAAUACUCCUUACAUCCUAUCUGGCACCCCAUCCAUCACUUUAAAAAAAAAAGCAACUUUGUACUAAUGAAAAUUUCAAACGUACAAAAUUAGAGUAGUAUAAAGGCCUUUCCUUAUGUAUCACCUACCAUUAAUAAUUAGCAACAUUUUGCAAUCUUAUUUUAUUUUAUCCAUAAAUACUUCAGUCUGCAUCUUUAAUAGAUAAGUACUUUUUUGGCAAACACAGUCACCAUGCCAUCAUUGAUUCUAACAAAACUAGUAGUAUCAUAUAAUACCAGUCCACGUUCAAAUUUCCCAGUUGUCUCAAAGAUGUUAUAGUUGAUAUGUUUGAAUAAAGGUCCAAACAUUGGUACACACAAAGGUACACACAUUGCUUUAUUUUUUCCAUAGCAAUAUCACCGUACAAAACACUGUAUAUUUUAUAUAUUUAUUUGCUUAUUGUCUGUCUCUCUCAUUUGAAUAUCAACUUGAUGUGAGUGAGAUUUUUGUCUGUUUUGUUCUUUGCUGUAUCUUUAGCACUUAGAAUGGUUACUGGCACAUAGUAGGCUUGAAUAAAAUAUUUGUAGAAUGAAUGAAUGAAUGAAAUUAGCAACAUGGAGCUAAAGAUCCAUGGAGUAUGCUGUGUCGACAUGCUCAAAUUUGUUGCUUUCCAGCUUUAAAACUUUGGACAACUUCAUGAGCUUCAAUUUUCUUAUCUUUAAAAUGGGACUAAAAACACCAAGUCUGCAGAGUUGUUGUGAGAAUUAGACAAAAUAUGUGCAUAAUGUCCAGCACCUAGUGUACUCUCAGAAUAGCUAUUUUUAUUUUUCAUUGUAGCUGCCUUUAUAAGGCAUACACAGAUGAAAGAUGUGUCAUAAAGAAUUUGGCCUUGCCCAAAGAGGUCUGGCCUUUGUCCCUAGUUCCUGGGAGGUAGGCUUUAAACUCUUGGAAUUUUUCAAAUAUUAGGAAUGUCUUUGUUAUUCAUGGUGGGCCCCUUAGCCCACACCUCAUGGUUUAUGCUAAGGAGGUGACAUGGUAGGCUGCUUAGGCCAGGUGAUGUCAACUUGACCUCCAGAGAGUGGGGUGGGGCAGGAGACUGGGUCCAAUCCCAUGGGCAAUAACUCAUACUUAUGUAAUGAGGCCCCAAUAAAAACUCUAGACACUGAAGCUUGUGUGAGCUUCCCUGGUUGGCCACACUCCAUGCAUAUUGUCACACAUCAGUAUCAAUACUGGGAGGGUAAUGCAUUCUGAAGAUGAUGGGAGUUUUGUAUUUGGAACCUGUCAGACUCUACCCUAUGUGUCUCUUCUUUUGUCUAGUUUUGAUCUGUAUCCUUUCCCUGAAAUAAACUGUAACUAUAAUAGUUUUUGAUGAGUUCUAUGAUUCCUUUUAGCGAAUUAUUCAACCUAAGGGUGGUUUUUGAAACUUGAACUUGCAGUUGGGGUCAAUGGAAGCAGGACACCUGAGUUCUAGUCCAGGCUCACUUAAGUGGCUGUGUGAACUGGG
Long non-coding RNA from Equus asinus (donkey), 6004 nucleotides. The record is from Ensembl. Lineage: Eukaryota; Metazoa; Chordata; Mammalia; Perissodactyla; Equidae.